This 64-nucleotide transfer RNA is filed under the name Ictidomys tridecemlineatus (thirteen-lined ground squirrel). RNAcentral's name for it is "Spermophilus tridecemlineatus (thirteen-lined ground squirrel) tRNA". It matches the Rfam family "tRNA". From Rfam's summary of the family: Transfer RNA (tRNA) molecules are approximately 80 nucleotides in length. Lineage: Eukaryota; Metazoa; Chordata; Mammalia; Rodentia; Sciuridae. The record is from Rfam by way of RNAcentral.
GGGGAAUCAGCUCAGUGGUAGAGUAUUUGCCUAACAUGCAAAAGGCCCUGAAUUUAAUCCCCCA